This 117-nucleotide ribozyme is filed under the name Aedes aegypti (yellow fever mosquito). Its description in RNAcentral is "drz-agam-1 ribozyme". It matches the Rfam family "drz-agam-1 ribozyme". The record is from Rfam by way of RNAcentral. Lineage: Eukaryota; Metazoa; Arthropoda; Insecta; Diptera; Culicidae.
UGCCCAGCCACUCCUAUCCCUACCUCCUCGCGGUACUGGCCGGGGUACGAGUAACCUUAGGGAAGAUCGGGUAACCAACCCCCGGUGGGAACUUUGGUCGUAUGCUGACAGGGAAGG